GCUUUAAUUAUCUAUUCCUGAGCAUACAUCAUACUGAUAAUUAAAGCUCAUGCUGGUGCAUGAAAAUCGAUUAAGACAUCGUGUGCAGUUGAUCUACAUCUAAGUCUAUGUGUAUAUAUCAUGUAUAUCAUAUAUAUAUAAAGAAUCGAGAUACAGGUGCGGUCACGUUAAUUGGGAAACGAUUCAAUACACAAGUCGGUAUCGUUAAUCAGAAUCGGAUAGUCUGGAGGAGAAAGGCGGAAAGGAAAGAUGGCUAAUCUCUGUCUCGGAGUCUAGCACGUGGCAUUGAUGCUAGAAUUAUUUUUCAUAAAAGAACGGUGACAAUACUGACGCGUCGUAUUUAUAUUCUAGAGCUUUUAGUUGUAAAGCCAGACGUCAAUGUGCAAUUUAUGUUAUUGUACACUCGUACCGAAUGAAAAAUAUUACAAUGCUCUAGGAUUUGAGGAAAAAGUAAAAAGUUUUAGUGACCGAUCAAUACUGGGCUACGAAGUUGGAUUAGAUGCAUGUAACCAAGUGUCAACUUACUCAGGUCCCAAGAGGGUAAGAAACUGAGGAAUUAAUCUGCUGCCGAAGCGACUGGAUCAAUAGACAGCAAAAGGGCACAUGUUCUACUGGUUGACAUCGGCUACGCAUUG
Molecule: long non-coding RNA, 635 nt
Organism: Microplitis mediator
Lineage: Eukaryota; Metazoa; Arthropoda; Insecta; Hymenoptera; Braconidae
Exons: 3
Source: RefSeq, a predicted model, not a curated record